Molecule: small nuclear RNA, 275 nt
Filed under: Vulpes vulpes (red fox)
Lineage: Eukaryota; Metazoa; Chordata; Mammalia; Carnivora; Canidae
Description: 7SK RNA (ENSVVUG00000010435.1)
Rfam family: 7SK RNA
About the family: 7SK was discovered as an abundant small nuclear RNA in the mid-70s but a possible function has only recently been suggested. Two independent studies have found that 7SK RNA binds the CDK9/cyclin T complex (known as elongation factor P-TEFb). P-TEFb activates transcription by phosphorylating the C-terminal domain of RNA polymerase II.
Source: Rfam by way of RNAcentral
GGAUGUAAGGGUGAUCUGGUUGUGACAUCUGUCACCCCAUUGAUCACCAGGGUUGAUUCGGCUGAUCUGGCUGGCUAGGUGAGUGUCUUCUUCCUCCCUCACCCGUUCCAUGUGCAUCCUCCAGAAGCUGAGGGCUUGGUUGAAGAAGAUGACCAUCACUGAUAGAGGAGGACCAUUCUUCAGUCAAGGGUAUAUGUGUAGCUGCACUCACCUGCUAAAACCUCCAAACAAGCUCUCAAGGUCCAUUUGAACUACACCACUCAGGCGCUAAAUGG